UGGGGAAUCUUGCGCAAUGGGGGAAACCCUGACGCAGCGACGCCGCGUGCGGGAUGAAGGUCUUCGGAUCGUAAAGUUCUGUUGCAGGGGAAGAUAAUGACGGUACCCUGUGAGGAAGCCCCGGCUAACUACGUGCCAGCAGCCGCGGUAAUACGUAGGGGGCUAGCGUUAUCCGGAUUUACUGGGCGUAAAGGGUGCGUAGGUGGUCUUUCAAGUCGGUGGUUAAAGGCUACGGCUCAACCGUAGUUAGCCUCCGAAACUGGAAGACUUGAGUGCAGGAGAGGAAAGUGGAAUUCCCAGUGUAGCGGUGAAAUGCGUAGAUAUUGGGAGGAACACCAGUAGCGAAGGCGGCUUUCUGGACUGCAACUGACACUGAGGCACGAAAGCGUGGGUAGCAAACAGG
This 403-nucleotide ribosomal RNA is filed under the name Verrucomicrobiota bacterium. RNAcentral describes it as "Verrucomicrobia bacterium partial 16S ribosomal RNA". It matches the Rfam family "Bacterial small subunit ribosomal RNA", at positions 355 to 776 of the family's 1533-position model. The record is from RNAcentral. Lineage: Bacteria; Pseudomonadati; Verrucomicrobiota.